RNAcentral lists this ribosomal RNA (421 nucleotides) under uncultured bacterium. RNAcentral's name for it is "bacterial SSU rRNA". It matches the Rfam family "Bacterial small subunit ribosomal RNA", at positions 356 to 774 of the family's 1533-position model. The record is from RNAcentral.
GAGGAAUAUUGGUCAAUGGGUGCAAGCCUGAACCAGCCAUCCCGCGUGAAGGACGACUGCCCUAUGGGUUGUAAACUUCUUUUGUAUAGGGAUAAACCUACCCUCGUGAGGGUAGCUGAAGGUACUAUACGAAUAAGCACCGGCUAACUCCGUGCCAGCAGCCGCGGUAAUACGGAGGGUGCAAGCGUUAUCCGGAUUUAUUGGGUUUAAAGGGUCCGUAGGCGGACUUAUAAGUCAGUGGUGAAAGCCUGUCGCUUAACGAUAGAACUGCCAUUGGUACUGUAAGGCUUGAGUAUAUUUGAGGUAGCUGGAAUAAGUAGUGUAGCGGUGAAAUGCAUAGAUAUUACUUAGAACAACAAUUGCGAAGGCAGGUUACCAAGAUAUAACUGACGCUGAGGGACGAAAGCGUGGGGAGCGAACA